GACUCCAGGGACCGAAAGGAUUCCACCUGGAAUGUAGAGGGGUCUACUUCCUCCUUCCUGGGCAGAGAGGCGUCUCCGUUGUCCCUUCCGGGCACCUCGGAUAAUAACCACCCAGAGAAAGACCUCUCCGAGAGACACUUUCGGUUUGAUAAGACAUGGAAGAACGACAGCAGGAUGUAUCCCAAGUAUGAUUUCCGAGAUGAGCGUCCCAUGAAGCCG
Oncorhynchus masou masou (cherry salmon) is the source of this 219-nucleotide long non-coding RNA. RefSeq lists it as uncharacterized. The transcript is spliced from 3 exons. The record is from RefSeq and is a predicted model, not a curated record. Lineage: Eukaryota; Metazoa; Chordata; Actinopteri; Salmoniformes; Salmonidae.